UUCUACUUUUUUUUCUCAACCAAAUUUCUUUCUAACUUCCUUUCUCUAUUUCUGGAUUAAGAGCAGGUCUGAUACAUAACAAAUUGGUGUCAGAGCUUGGUUCUAAGUGGGCCUAAGCUGAAAAAGUGGUUCAUCUGAGUUGCACCCAAGCUAGGAUCAGGUUUCUUAAUGAUCUUCUCUCUCUCUUUCUCUCUCUUCUUCCUCCUUUCCCAUUCCACUUCACUCUCAGGAGGGAGCAAGGAAAAGAACAAAAAUGGAGAAGGAGAAGAAGAACCAACCGAAACCCACCAAAUAUGUUCGCAAUUUCUGUGUUUUUCUCUUCUCCUUCUUCACCAUUUGUAAAACUGGUGUUGCUUUUGAUUACGCUGACGCAUUAACCAAGAGCCUCCUUUACUUCGAAGCACAGCGCUCCGGUCGCUUACCUUACAACCAGCGCGUCACUUGGAGAGACCAUUCAGGCCUCACUGAUGGCUUAGAACAAGGAGUUAGUACAAAAAUUGCUCAGAAAUUUGAGUAUUCUGUUCGAAUUCUGAUACGGUAGCACUGAACUGCUGAUUCAAAUUGAAGAGACUCUGUUUUGUGUUUUUUUGUGUUGUGUUCUGUGGUGUAGGUGGACUUAGUUGGAGGAUAUUAUGAUGCAGGGGACCAUGUCAAAUUUGGGUUACCAAUGGCAUUCACUGUGACAAUGCUAUCGUGGAGUGUCAUCGAAUUCCGAGAUCAGAUCGCUCGCGCAGGAGAAUUAGAACACGCAUUAGAGGCUAUUAAAUGGGGGACUGACUAUUUCAUCAAAGCUCAUACUAGCCCUAAUGUGCUAUGGGCUGAGGUGGGUGAUGGUCACACUGACCAUUACUGCUGGCAACGGCCGGAGGACAUGACCACAUCCCGGCAAGCCUACAAGAUCGACGAGAACAAUCCUGGGUCGGAUCUCGCCGGAGAAACUGCAGCCGCAAUGGCCGCCGCAUCUAUAGUGUUUAAAAGAACAAACCCACAUUACGCUCACCUCCUCUUGCACCAUGCCCAACAGUUGUUUGAGUUUGGGGAUAAGUAUAGAGGAAAAUAUGAUGCAAGUGUGGAGGUGGUAAAGAGCUACUAUGCGUCGGUGAGUGGGUACAUGGAUGAGUUGUUGUGGGGAGCUAUGUGGCUCUACAAGGCGACCGACAAUGAGGAGUACUUGAGAUACGUUAUUAACAGAGCUGAAUGUUUUGGCGGGAUUGGUUGGGCCAUAACAGAGUUUAGUUGGGAUGUUAAAUAUGCUGGCCUUCAAAUUAUGGCUUCAAAGUUGCUCAUGGAUGAAAGACACAAGGAGCAUAGACACAUAUUAGAGCAAUAUAAAUCAAAGGCUGAGUACUACAUAUGCUCAUGCCUUGAUAAAAACAACAAUGGAAGCAAUGUGGAGCGAACUCCGGCGGGCCUUUUACACAUCCGGCAAUGGAAUAACAUGCAAUAUGUUUCUACAGCAUCAUUCCUUCUCACUAUGUACUCUGGUUACCUACGAGGCUCCAAUGGUAAGCUCCAGUGCCCUAAUGGAUUAUUGGAUCAUAAAGAGAUCCUCAGUUUUGCUAAAUCACAAGUUGAUUAUAUCCUAGGUUCUAACCCAAUGAACAUGAGUUAUUUAGUGGGAUAUGGUCCUAAAUACCCAACAAGGGUGCACCACAGAGGGGCCUCAAUAGUGUCAUAUAGAGAGAACAAGGGGUUCAUUGGUUGCACUCAAGGGUAUGAUAGUUGGUAUAGCAGGCGAGAGCAAAACCCCAAUGUUUUGGUUGGGGCAUUGGUUGGAGGACCUGAUUGCCAAGACAAUUUCAGUGACCAAAGAGGUAAUUACGUGCAAACAGAGGCCUGCACAUAUAAUACAGCACCAUUAGUAGGAGUUUUUGCAAAGUUGUUAGAAAUGGAGGAUCAAACGGGUGAUCAUGAUCAUAAUCAGCCUUUGAUUGCUUCUUAUUAGAAAUUAAAUUUUUAUUAAAAAAAAUUUGAAUAUAUAGUGUUGAAUAUUACACAAGAGUGGUGGUUUUUGGGCGUGGCUGAACUAAGAUGCUCAAGCCUCAUUCGUAAUUUGGGAAGCCAAAAAGAAUGGCCUCAAUUUGUAACUUAUAUUUUUAUUUUUCUGCUAGUGUUUAUAAUACCAUAUAUUAAGUUAAUCAUCAUUUCAUUUCCCAG
This 2157-nucleotide unclassified non-coding RNA is filed under the name Hevea brasiliensis (rubber tree). The record is from RNAcentral. Lineage: Eukaryota; Viridiplantae; Streptophyta; Magnoliopsida; Malpighiales; Euphorbiaceae.